GGCCUUCGGGCGCUGACGAGUGGCGGACGGGUGAGGAAUGCGUAGGAAUCUACCCAGUAGCGGGGGACAACUUAGGGAAACUUAAGCUAAUACCGCAUGAGCCCGAGAGGGGAAAGCAGCAAUGCGCCGAAGGAUGAGCCCGCGUCGGAUUAGCUAGUUGGUGGGGUAAUGGCCCACCAAGGCGAUGAUCCGUAGCUGGUCUGAGAGGAUGAUCAGCCACACUGGGACUGAGACACGGCCCAGACUCCUACGGGAGGCAGCAGUGGGGAAUAUUGGACAAUGGGGGAAACCCUGAUCCAGCCAUGCCGCGUGAGUGAUGAAGGACUUAGGGUUGUAAAGCUCUUUCGACGGGGACGAUGAUGACGGUACCCGUAGAAGAAGCCCCGGCUAACUUCGUGCCAGCAGCCGCGGUAAUACGAAGGGGGCUAGCGUUGUCCGGAAUUACUGGGCGUAAAGCGCGCGUAGGCGGCUACACAAGUCGGGCGUGAAAGCCCGGGGCUUAACCCCGGAAAUGCGCCCGAGACUGUGUGGCUUGAGACCGGGAGAGGAGAGUGGAAUUCCCAGUGUAGAGGUGAAAUUCGUAGAUAUUGGGAAGAACACCGGUGGCGAAGGCGGCUCUCUGGUCCGGUUCUGACGCUGAGGCGCGAAAGCGUGGGGAGCAAACAGGAUUAGAUACCCUGGUAGUCCACGCCGUAAACGAUGAGUGCCAGACGUCGGGGGGCUCGCCCUUCGGUGUCGACGCUAACGCAUUAAGCACUCCGCCUGGGGAGUACGG
RNAcentral lists this ribosomal RNA (775 nucleotides) under uncultured bacterium. RNAcentral's name for it is "bacterial SSU rRNA". It matches the Rfam family "Bacterial small subunit ribosomal RNA", at positions 75 to 885 of the family's 1533-position model. The record is from RNAcentral.